GACAGAGGGGGCAAGCGUUGCUCGGAAUCACUGGGCGUAAAGGGCGCGUAGGCGGGAUGGCAAGUCGGUCGUGAAAUCCUUCGGCUCAACCGAAGAACGUCGGCCGAUACUGCCGUUCUUGAGGGAUGCAGAGGAGAUUGGAAUUCCCGGUGUAGCGGUGAAAUGUGUAGAGAUCGGGAGGAACACCGGUGGCGAAGGGCGGG
Molecule: ribosomal RNA, 203 nt
Filed under: uncultured bacterium
Lineage: Bacteria
Description: partial 16S ribosomal RNA
Rfam family: Bacterial small subunit ribosomal RNA
Source: RNAcentral